RNAcentral lists this ribosomal RNA (765 nucleotides) under uncultured Lactarius. RNAcentral describes it as "partial 28S ribosomal RNA". It matches the Rfam family "Eukaryotic large subunit ribosomal RNA", at positions 216 to 962 of the family's 3401-position model. Lineage: Eukaryota; Fungi; Basidiomycota; Agaricomycetes; Russulales; Russulaceae. The record is from RNAcentral.
GAAUCCCGUCUUUGGCACGGAUGCCUGGUGCUUCUGUGAUGCGCUCUCGAAGAGUCGAGUUGUUUGGGAAUGCAGCUCAAAAUGGGUGGUGAACUCCAUCUAAAGCUAAAUAUUGGCGAGAGACCGAUAGCGAACAAGUACCGUGAGGGAAAGAUGAAAAGCACUUUGGAAAGAGAGUGAAACAGUACGUGAAAUUGUUGAAAGGGAAACGCUUGAAGUCAGUCGCGUCGACCGAGACUCAGCCUUGCCUUGGCUUGGUGUACUUCUCGGCCCGACGGGUCAGCAUCAAUUUUGCCCCUCGGAUAAUGGCAGGGGAAAGGUGGCACCUUUACGGGUGUGUUAUAGUCUCCUGUCGAAUGCGAGGGGUGGGAUUGAGGAACUCAGCGCGCACCUCAGUGUCGGGGCUUCGGCCCACGUCACGCGCUUAGGAUGCUGGCGUAAUGGCUUUAAACGACCCGUCUUGAAACACGGACCAAGGAGUCCAACACGCCCGCGAGUGUUCGGGUGGAAAACCCGUGCGCGUAAUGAAAGUGAAAGUUGGGACCUCUGUCGUGGAGGGCACCGACGCCCGGACCAGACCUUCUGUGACGGAUCUGCGGUAGAGCGUGUGUGUUGGGACCCGAAAGAUGGUGAACUAUGCCUGAAUAGGGUGAAGCCAGAGGAAACUCUGGUGGAGGCUCGUAGCGAUUCUGACGUGCAAAUCGAUCGUCAAUUUGGGUAUAGGGGCGAAAGACUAAUCGAACCAUCUAGUAGCUGGUUCCUGCC